GACAGAGGAUGCAAGCGUUAUCCGGAAUGAUUGGGCGUAAAGCGUCUGUAGGUGGCUUUUUAAGUCUGCCGUCAAAUCCCAGGGCUUAACCCUGGACAGGCGGUGGAAACUACCAAGCUGGAGUACGGUAGGGGCAGGGGGAAUUUCCGGUGGAGCGGUGAAAUGCGUAGAGAUCGGGAAGAACACCAGCGGCGAAAGCACUCUGCUGGGCCGACACUGACACUGAGAGACGAAAGCUAGGGGAGCGAAUGGG
RNAcentral lists this ribosomal RNA (253 nucleotides) under uncultured bacterium. RNAcentral describes it as "partial 16S ribosomal RNA". It matches the Rfam family "Bacterial small subunit ribosomal RNA", at positions 524 to 776 of the family's 1533-position model. The record is from RNAcentral.